Molecule: ribosomal RNA, 744 nt
Filed under: uncultured bacterium
Lineage: Bacteria
Description: bacterial SSU rRNA
Rfam family: Bacterial small subunit ribosomal RNA
Source: RNAcentral
AGAGUUUGAUCAUGGCUCAGAACGAACGCUGGCGGCAGGCUUAACACAUGCAAGUCGAACGAGUGUAGCAAUACACUAGUGGCGCACGGGUGAGUAACGCGUGGAUAUCUGCCUUUUGGUUCGGGAUAACCUUGGGAAACUAGGGCUAAUACCGAAUGGUUCCUACGGGAUAAAGAUUUAUCGCCAAAAGAUGAGUCCGCGUCCGAUUAGCUAGUUGGUGAGGUAACGGCUCACCAAGGCGACGAUCGGUAGCUGGUCUGAGAGGACGAUCAGCCACACUGGGACUGAGACACGGCCCAGACUCCUACGGGAGGCAGCAGUGGGGAAUAUUGGACAAUGGGGGCAACCCUGAUCCAGCCAUGCCGCGUGAGUGAUGAAGGCCUUCGGGUUGUAAAGCUCUUUUGGCGGGGACGAUGAUGACGGUACCCGCAGAAUAAGCCCCGGCUAACUUCGUGCCAGCAGCCGCGGUAAGACGAAGGGGGCUAGCGUUGUUCGGAAUUACUGGGCGUAAAGCGUGUGUAGGUGGUUGUCCAAGUUGGAUGUGAAAGCCUUGAGCUCAACUCAAGAAAUGCAUUCAGGACUGGGCGACUAGAGGACCGGAGAGGAUAGUGGAAUUCCCAGUGUAGUGGUGAAAUACGUAGAGAUUGGGAAGAACACCAGUGGCGAAGGCGGCUAUCUGGACGGUUUCUGACACUAAGACACGAAAGCGUGGGGAGCAAACAGGAUUAGAUACCCUAGUAGUCC